GCUUCCCGGCGGGCUUGGACUGGGAGGCACCGGGACCCGCCGGCUCUGAGGGUGUUGUCUGCAGAGGUGCGGGCCGCGAUCUGUCCUCUGGGACUGCGAGAGUGAGUCAACCUGCGAACGCAAGGCGACCAAGUGACUUGCCCAGUUCCCCAGGGGUCUUUGGUUCUGCCUGAAAUCGUCUGUCCUGGAGGAACCGAAAUCACUUACUCUGCUUCUUCCUAUAAGAUCACAGGCCCCGGUGGGCACGGUGGCGCACGCCCGUUACCCCCGGGGCUCGGCUGGCUGAAGCAGAAGGAUCGCAAGGUCUGGGCCAUCUCAAGGUCUGGGCCGGCCUCGGCAACUUAGCCAGACCCAGUCUCUAAAUAAAAAGGACUGGAAUGUAGCUCAGUGGUAAAGCACCUCUGGAUUCAAUUCCCGGUACCGAAAAAAAAAAAGAAAGAAAGAAACAGACACAUGCUGAAUGAUCCACCACAUAUUGUCAGUGGUUUACUUUAAAAACCAAAGGCAGGAGAAGAAGCAAUGUUUAGGCAUUUCGAAGCCAGUUUUCAUGAAAGCCCAUAAAUUGUGGAGAUGAGUUGUUAAUGUUAUCUUAUAUUUGUAUCGAGAUUAGCACGACGCCUGCUCGGCAAGGUGAUGCACGACAGGAAUCCCAGCAGAGGCUCAGGAGGAUGAGUCACGAGGAUCGCGAGUUCAAAGCCAGCCUCAGCAACUUUGUGAGGUCCUGAAAGCAACUCAGCUAGACCCUGUCUAAAUAAAAUAUAAAAAGGGCAGGGGAUGUAGCUCACUCGUUAAGCACCACUGGGUUCAAUUACUGGUACCAAGAUUUAAAAGGAAAAAGAAAAUAGUUUUCCAAGCCACAGUACUGUUGAUACCAUUGUUUGAGGGGUGUUUUGUUGGGGGAGGGGGGUGCUUUUUUGGUUUUUUUUUUUGUUGUUGUUUUUUUAAUUGUAAAAGCUAGGUGGGUGCAGUGGCGCAUGCCUGCAAUUCCAGUGGCUCUGGAGGCUGACGCAGGAAGAUCUCAAGUUCAAAGCCAGCCUCAGCAACUUAGCAAGGCACUUAGCAACUCAGUGAGAGCCUGUCCCUAAAUAACGUAUAAAACAGGGCUGGGGAUGUGACUCAGUGGUUGAGCACCCGGGUUCAAUCCUCAGUACCAAAAAAAAAAAAAAUUUGCAAAAGGUAACUGGGCAUGGUGGUGCAGGCCAGUAAUUCCCCUUCUCUCAGGGGAAUCACAACUUCCAUUUAACAAGACCCUGUCUGAGCAAUUAACAAGACUCUGUCUCAAAAUUUAAUUUUUUUUUUUAAGAGGCUAGGGAUGUAGCCUCAUGGGUUCAGUCCCCAGUACCACAUUUAAAAAAAAUAAAAAACAAAUGACAAUCAGCCUCCUACACACAAUUUUUAUAUAGUAAACAAGAAUCCAGUAAAUAGGAUUGUUUUAUUUAUUUUUUUUUAUCUUAAUUUUUUUUUUAGAGAAUUUUAAUAUUUAUUUUUUAGUUUUCUGCGGACACAACAUCUUUAUUUGUACGUGGUGCUGAGGAUCCAACCCGGGCCGCAUGCAUGCCAGCCGAGCGCACUACCGCUUGAGCCACAUCCCCAGCCCCAAUAGGAUUGUUUUAAAUCCACUAAAUUUCAUUUAAGACAAUGUCUUUGGGCCUUGCUAAAUUGCUGAGGCUGUCUUUGAACUUGUGAUCCUCCUAUCUCAGUCUCCCAAGUCAUACUCCAUCAUGCCCAGCCAGAAAAUCCAGUAAGGGAGAACUGUGGGCCACAAUACAGACUGCAACGCUAAUCAAGUAAGCAAGUGGAGAAAUGCCUACCACAAAAAUGGACCUUGAAGAAGGCUUUCCUGUAUAAGCAGUCAGAGCAGAGCACCUCGCCCCUAUAUUGGCAAAGAAUUGGAUUUCCUUACCCAUAACAUCCAAGAUUACCUGACGUUCCUCAAGAGAGAUGGUAAUGUCACAUAGGAGCUUCUGUGGCCACCUCCGGUAUCCUCAGUCAACAUUUUCUCCAUCCAGGAGGGUCUGUGCUGCUAUG
This is a long non-coding RNA of Marmota monax (woodchuck), 2028 nucleotides long. RefSeq lists it as uncharacterized. The transcript is spliced from 3 exons. NCBI's taxonomy places the organism in Eukaryota, Metazoa, Chordata, Mammalia, Rodentia, Sciuridae. The record is from RefSeq and is a predicted model, not a curated record.